Oncorhynchus tshawytscha (Chinook salmon) is the source of this 719-nucleotide long non-coding RNA. NCBI's taxonomy places the organism in Eukaryota, Metazoa, Chordata, Actinopteri, Salmoniformes, Salmonidae. The record is from Ensembl.
AUUAGAACAGGAUGACUCUCGGUUGACAAAGAUUUUUUAGGGACAGCCCUACAAUCAGUCUUACCCUUGCUCUACUCAAAGGGCUGUAUUGGGAUGGCUUCAUACAGUAUCUACGUGUAUAUCAUUGACUGUAUUGUAUUUUUAGACCAAGAGGACCGAGAGAAACAAAGUGGGGCAGAUCACUGAUACAGAUGCAGGUCCCUCUACAUCUGUGGAAUUUUCUGGGAUGACAGUUCAGGGGACAUCUCACCAGGGACAAUCUAAUGAAAAGAUCCUAAGUGAGUGUGUCUCCAGGGCCUGUCAGACCAGGGCUCUUGACCUCCCGCCAAUCGAUCCGGAUGCUUUCAACCCGAUUAUCAUCCGGUUUCUGGAAAAACUUACUGAGGAGCAAUGGAGGCAGUUAAGCAUUGGCAGGAUGGACCCUGUGAUGAGGGCAUUGCUUGCAGAGAUGUGCCUGGAGAUUGUGCGGUUUGUAUCUGAGGCCAUCCUGGAGGUCAUCAUCCCUGCAAUUUUCCGUUUUGUACGGAUAUACAGCCAUGGGUCUCCAGUAUCCGGCAAGUCUCUGACAGAAUCAGAGAGAUCCUCUAGCACAAACCUGAAGGUUCGCAAGAGAGGCAGCAGCAAAUCCUCAAGGUCUUGCACGGCCAAAUCAAGCUCCUCUCGUAAUGGGUAUGUUCAGUCAUUCCUAAAGAAACCGGUUUCACCUAACUAUUCAUAAC